Molecule: unclassified non-coding RNA, 388 nt
Filed under: Hevea brasiliensis (rubber tree)
Lineage: Eukaryota; Viridiplantae; Streptophyta; Magnoliopsida; Malpighiales; Euphorbiaceae
Source: RNAcentral
GAAGUGAAAUGGAUGGAAUGGUGUGAAGAUGUCAUGGUUUAUGAAAUUAAAACCCUUAGACGCCUUCAAAGGCUUCAGACUACCAGUGCUGACCUUCCAAAGGAAAAGGUUCUUUCGAAGAUUCGGAAUUACCUACAGCUUAUUGGGCGGAGGAUAGACCAAAUUGUCUUAGAGUAUCAGGAACAGCUUUAUCGACAAGAUAGGAUGACUAUGAGAUUAUGGAAGUAUGUUUCUACCUUUUCAAAUUUAUCAGGGGAGAGGCUUCAUCAGAUAUAUUCUAAACUUAAGCAGGAGCAAGAAGAGGAAGCGGGGGUUGGACCCUCCCAUGUGAAUGGCUUUGCAUCUGGUCCAUUGGACAAAGAUGGUGAUGCCAAUUAUUUUCCUCUGA